UCAAUGGUAGAGUACUCGG
This 19-nucleotide transfer RNA is filed under the name Thinopyrum distichum. RNAcentral describes it as "partial tRNA-Lys". The record is from RNAcentral. Lineage: Eukaryota; Viridiplantae; Streptophyta; Magnoliopsida; Poales; Poaceae.